GACGAACGCUGGCGGCGUGCUUAACACAUGCAAGUCGAACGGUGAAGCGAGUGCUUGCACUCGUGGAUCAGUGGCGAACGGGUGAGUAACACGUGAGUAACCUGCCCAUCACUCUGGGAUAAGCACUGGAAACGGUGUCUAAUACUGGAUACGACCAACCCUUGCAUGGGGUGUUGGUGGAAAGAUUUAUCGGUGAUGGAUGGACUCGCGGCCUAUCAGCUUGUUGGCGGGGUAAUGGCCCACCAAGGCGACGACGGGUAGCCGGCCUGAGAGGGUGACCGGCCACACUGGGACUGAGACACGGCCCAGACUCCUACGGGAGGCAGCAGUGGGGAAUAUUGCACAAUGGGCGAGAGCCUGAUGCAGCGACGCCGCGUGAGGGAUGGCGGCCUUCGGGUUGUAAACCUCUUUCAGCAGGGAAGAAGCGAAAGUGACGGUACCUGCAGAAGAAGCACCGGCUAACUACGUG
This 469-nucleotide ribosomal RNA is filed under the name uncultured bacterium. RNAcentral describes it as "partial 16S ribosomal RNA". It matches the Rfam family "Bacterial small subunit ribosomal RNA", at positions 28 to 507 of the family's 1533-position model. The record is from RNAcentral.